AAAUAAUGUUGAAGAUUUAAUUUUUGAAAAAUAAACUGCCAUUUUAAAUAACAAACCUUUUGAACAUUUCAAUCAACUUACAGCAGUCAUUUUAAUUUUAAUUAUGUUUUGUUAAACUGUUCUUAGUUUAUUUAUAAAUGUGUACAUAAAUGCUUAUCCUAUUGAAAUCGCAAUUGUAAAUCUAGUAAAGUUAAAAGUAACUAAAAACUAGAGAAGACAGAUUUACAUUUCCAAUUCAACUUAUAUAUAACAUUUUGAGAGUUGCAACAUUUAAUUCCUUGACUCGAGGAACAACGACCUUUACAAAUUUUUAUCUCAAUCUUUUUUGAACGUGAAAAUGAGUUUGUUAAAUGUUACUCUAGAUUUGAAUCAGUCUGCCUUCAUCAUCACCAUAAACAUCACCAACAUCAUCAGUAUCAUUAUAAUCUCGUUCUUCAUCUUUUCUCUUUUUACUCGUGUGUUUUUUUUCAUCAUCAUUUAUCUUUCUUCUUCUUCACCAUCUUCACCUUCAUUGUGUACAGAAAGACAAUAUUUAAACACAAGUCCAAUGGAUUUGUAUCAUUAAGAAGUGAAGGAGAAGAAAAAUAAAAUAAGUAAAACCCAUUCUCAAAAUAUAUACUGACUAAUUAUCUGGCCCGUUAACAGGGUUACGUUGAUUUGCUCUCGCUGAACAUCAAUCCUCAUCUUCCUCAUCCUCAUCUCCUAUUACAAGGAAUAAUUAAGACGAAAUUUGGUGCAUCAUCUGAAAAGGACAUUCAAUAAAAGAAGGAUCAUCUUUGGAAAGAAGGAGAAGACGAAAAAGGCGAAAAAGAAAAUCAUUUUCAUCUUAAUUUCCCUGCCCUUUCCGUUUUUCCAUCUUUCAUCCUCGUCUUUUUUUCCCAUAAAAAAGCAAACCUAAUACAUCUUGCUUCAGUUUUGUUGUACAAGCCUAGUCAAUAUAAUCAUCAUUAUCAUCACCAUCAUAAUCAUCAUCUUUCCUCAUCAUAAUCAUCAACUUCUCAACUUUUUGUCACAAUUUCACUUGAAAUUCCAGCUUAACUUUUCUCUCAUUCAAAGCUUUAUCCUUCAUCAUUAUCAUCUUCAUGGUGAGUACAUGUUAAAGGUAAAUUAGGAGCUUUGCAGUUGAAGCCAAAUGAUGAUAUCAGUUGAAAUGUCAACAGAUAAAGACGACAAAAAAACGCAAACAAACCAACCUAAAAGUGUAUUUUAUAAGCAGCUUUUUACACCUUCAAAAAAAGACACAAUUUUCAUCAUCGCCAUCAUCACCAUCACCAUCACCGUUACCAUCAUCAUUAUCAUCAUUACCAAACUCUUAGAGAAACCACAUUAUCAUCCUUUCCACUUCUCAAUCAGUUUUCAGUUGACAAUCAGGAAACCUCCUUCAUCUCCUCCCACUAAUCAUCGUCACAAUCAUUUUAAUAAUCAUGAUCAUUACUGUUAAUUUAGAGUAAAUUGUUCCAAAACUGUAAACAGGGAAACUCAUUAACCAACUUUAUGAGCAUUAAAACUCAGAUCAAACCUCAAAA
Tetranychus urticae (two-spotted spider mite) is the source of this 1526-nucleotide non-coding RNA. The record is from RefSeq and is a predicted model, not a curated record. Lineage: Eukaryota; Metazoa; Arthropoda; Arachnida; Trombidiformes; Tetranychidae.